AGCUCCAAUAGCGUAUAUUAAAGUUGUUGCAGUUAAAAAGCUCGUAGUUGGAUUUCAGAGUGAGCUCGUCCGGUCGGCCUAAAUGGUCUGAACUGGUUGACUCUCUCUUGCUUGUGGAUCCCGCCCGGAGUUAACUCUUCGGAUGUGGACUUCACAUCGUUUACCUUGAAAAAUUAGAGUGUUCAAAGCAGGCGUAUGCUUGAAUAUAUUAGCAUGGAAUAAUGGAAUAGGACCCUGGUUCUAUUUUGUUGGUUUUGAGGACCAGAGUAAUGAUUAAUAGGGAUAGUUGGGGGCAUUCGUAUUUAACUGUCAGAGGUGAAAUUCUUGGAUUUGUUAAAGACGAACUACUGCGAAAGCAUUUGCCAAGGAUGUUUUCA
Molecule: ribosomal RNA, 377 nt
Filed under: uncultured eukaryote
Lineage: Eukaryota
Description: SSU rRNA
Rfam family: Eukaryotic small subunit ribosomal RNA
Source: RNAcentral